CCUACGGGAGGCAGCAGUGGGGAAUAUUGCACAAUGGGGGAAACCCUGAUGCAGCGACGCCGCGUGAGUGAAGAAGUAAUUCGUUACGUAAAGCUCUAUCAGCAGGGAAGAAACACUGACCUUACGGUCAGCAGACGGUACCUGAGUAAGAAGCCCCGGCUACCUACGUGCCAGCAGCCGCGGUAAUACGUAGGGGGCAAGCGUUAUCCGGAUUUACUGGGUGGAAAGGGAGCGUAGACGGUGCGCCAAGUCAGGAGUGAAAUGCCGCAGCUUAACUGCGGAACUGCUUUUGAAACUGGCGAACUAGAGUGCGGGAGGGGUAAGCGGAAUUCCUAGUGUAGCGGUGAAAUGCGUAGAUAUUAGGAGGAACACCGGUGGCGAAGGCGGCUUACUGGACCGUAACUGACGUUGAGGCUCGAAAGCGUGGGGAGCAAACAGGAUUAGAUACCCCAGUAGUC
Molecule: ribosomal RNA, 458 nt
Filed under: uncultured bacterium
Lineage: Bacteria
Description: partial 16S ribosomal RNA
Rfam family: Bacterial small subunit ribosomal RNA
Source: RNAcentral